UACGAACGCUGGCGGCGUGCUUAACACAUGCAAGUCGAACGGAAAGGCCCUGCUUUUGUGGGGUGCUCGAGUGGCGAACGGGUGAGUAACACGUGAGUAACCUGCCCUUGACUUUGGGAUAACUUCAGGAAACUGGGGCUAAUACCGGAUAGGAGCUCCUGCUGCAUGGUGGGGGUUGGAAAGUUUCGGCGGUUGGGGAUGGACUCGCGGCUUAUCAGCUUGUUGGUGGGGUAGUGGCUUACCAAGGCUUUGACGGGUAGCCGGCCUGAGAGGGUGACCGGCCACAUUGGGACUGAGAUACGGCCCAGACUCCUACGGGAGGCAGCAGUGGGGAAUAUUGCACAAUGGGCGGAAGCCUGAUGCAGCAACGCCGCGUGCGGGAUGACGGCCUUCGGGUUGUAAACCGCUUUCGCCUGUGACGAAGCGUGAGUGACGGUAAUGGGUAAAGAAGCACCGGCUAACUACGUGCCAGCAGCCGCGGUGAUACGUAGGGUGCGAGCGUUGUCCGGAUUUAUUGGGCGUAAAGGGCUCGUAGGUGGUUGAUCGCGUCGGAAGUGUAAUCUUGGGGCUUAACCCUGAGCGUGCUUUCGAUACGGGUUGACUUGAGGAAGGUAGGGGAGAAUGGAAUUCCUGGUGGAGCGGUGGAAUGCGCAGAUAUCAGGAGGAACACCAGUGGCGAAGGCGGUUCUCUGGGCCUUUCCUGACGCUGAGGAGCGAAAGCGUGGGGAGCGAACAGGCUUAGAUACCCUGGUAGUCCACGCUGUAAACGGUGGGUACUAGGUGUGGGGUCCAUUCCACGGGUUCCGUGCCGUAGCUAACGCUUUAAGUACCCCGCCUGGGGAGUACGGCCGCAAGGCUAAAACUCAAAGGAAUUGACGGGGCCCCGCACAAGCGGCGGAGCAUGCGGAUUAAUUCGAUGCAACGCGUAGAACCUUACCUGGGUUUGACAUGGAUCGGGAGUGCUCAGAGAUGGGUGUGCCUCUUUUGGGGUCGGUUCACAGGUGGUGCAUGGCUGUCGUCAGCUCGUGUCGUGAGAUGUUGGGUUAAGUCCCGCAACGAGCGCAACCCUUGUUCACUGUUGCCAGCACGUUAUGGUGGGGACUCAGUGGAGACCGCCGGGGUCAACUCGGAGGAAGGUGGGGAUGACGUCAAGUCAUCAUGCCCCUUAUGUCCAGGGCUUCACGCAUGCUACAAUGGCUGGUACAGAGAGUGGCGAGCCUGUGAGGGUGAGCGAAUCUCGGAAAGCCGGUCUCAGUUCGGAUUGGGGUCUGCAACUCGACCUCAUGAAGUCGGAGUCGCUAGUAAUCGCAGAUCAGCAACGCUGCGGUGAAUACGUUCCCGGGGCUUGUACACACCGCCCGUCAAGUCAUGAAAGUUGGUAACACCCGAAGCCGGUGGCCUAACCGUUGUGGGGGAGCCGUCGAAGGUGGGACUG
RNAcentral lists this ribosomal RNA (1435 nucleotides) under uncultured organism. Its description in RNAcentral is "partial small subunit ribosomal RNA". It matches the Rfam family "Bacterial small subunit ribosomal RNA". The record is from RNAcentral.